This 892-nucleotide small RNA is filed under the name Pongo abelii (Sumatran orangutan). Its description in RNAcentral is "retained intron". Lineage: Eukaryota; Metazoa; Chordata; Mammalia; Primates; Hominidae. The record is from RNAcentral.
GCGCGUGGGGGUGAUGUCGCUAAGGGGUCAUUCUCCCCUCCCUAGAGUUACACAAGCUAUCUCUCCCGCCAAUUGCCGGGCGCCAUCGGGCAGGUCCUUUCCUCCUGAGCCCAAACCAUCCGCUUGUCGUCGUCCUCCAAUCACAGCGGCUCAUCCUCAGGGACUACUUUGCAAUCGGCACAGAGCGCAGUGAGAAGAGCUUGAAAAAAACCUCUGGUAUCGGGAAGUGUAGUUCAACACUUGAAGGAAACGCUUUGGAGAUUGCGCCAGAACCAGGGCAGCGUAAACUACAGUUCCCAGAGAGCGCCGCGUCGGGAGCGGAGCCUUUUUCGCUAACACCGCUCGCCCUCUUCGAGUCAGUUCCGCGGUAGAGGUGACCUGACUCUCUGAGGCUCAUUUUGCAGUUGUUGAAAUUGUCCUCGCAGUUUUCAAUCAUGUCUGAACCAAUCAGAGUCCUUGUGACUGGAGCAGCUGGUCAAAUUGCAUAUUCACUGCUGUACAGUAUUGGAAAUGGAUCUGUCUUUGGUAAAGAUCAGCCUAUAAUUCUUGUGCUGUUGGAUAUCACCCCCAUGAUGGGUGUCCUGGACGGUGUCCUAAUGGAACUGCAAGACUGUGCCCUUCCCCUCCUGAAAGAUGUCAUCGCAACAGAUAAAGAAGAGAUUGCCUUCAAAGACCUGGAUGUGGCCAUUCUUGUGGGCUCCAUGCCAAGAAGGGAAGGCAUGGAGAGAAAAGAUUUACUGAAAGCAAAUGUGAAAAUCUUCAAAUCCCAGGGUGCAGCCUUAGAUAAAUACGCCAAGAAGUCAGUUAAGGUGACCAACACUGUAUUUUAUGGGAUUUUUCAUCAUUAGCAUUUGAAACUUACGCUUUUAGCAUUUAAGCAAAACCAGAAUUA